Molecule: ribosomal RNA, 361 nt
Filed under: uncultured fungus
Lineage: Eukaryota; Fungi
Description: eukaryotic LSU rRNA
Rfam family: Eukaryotic large subunit ribosomal RNA
Source: RNAcentral
AUAUCAAUAAGCGGAGGAAAAGAAACCAACCGGGAUUGCCUCAGUAACGGCGAGUGAAGCGGCAAAAGCUCAAAUUUGAAAUCUGGCUCUUUUUGGGGUCCGAGUUGUAAUUUGAAGAUGGUAUUCUGGUGCUGGUGCAGGCAUAUGUCCCUUGGAACAGGGCGGCAUAGAGGGUGAGACUCCCGUUUUGCUUGGUAGCCAGUGCCGUGUAGAAUGCUUUCGAAGAGUCGAGUUGUUUGGGAAUGCAGCUCUAAGUGGGUGGUAAAUUCCAUCUAAAGCUAAAUAUUGGCGAGAGACCGAUAGCGAACAAGUACAGUGAUGGAAAGAUGAAAAGAACUUUGAAAAGAGAGUGAAAAAGUAC